This 502-nucleotide long non-coding RNA is filed under the name Heterocephalus glaber (naked mole-rat). RNAcentral's name for it is "lncRNA (ENSHGLG00000050547.1)". The record is from RNAcentral. Lineage: Eukaryota; Metazoa; Chordata; Mammalia; Rodentia; Bathyergidae.
AGAACAGCUGAGGUAGCGUUCAGUUUCAGCCCCAGUGCCAUUAUGAUGGAUGUUUACAUCUCUUCAUUGAGAGCCAAUUAUCUCGCUUUUGUGUGAGGCCCAAGGAUCACUCAUGCUGCCUGGCUGCACAGAGCACUGUUGGAUCUAGCUGAACGAAUUGUUUUCUGUCUCUGAUGACAUGAGGUCUGUGUUGGUAAAGCAGGUGCGGGUGAGGAUUAGGAAAAGUUGGUGGACCAACCUAGACUGCUGGUCAGAUUGAAGCAGAGUACACUCAAGAAGAGCUAGAUAUGAAUAUGGGGAAGAAGCUGAACCAACUGAAGCAGUAGUCUUGGUCUGCUCAACAAGCCUGAUGAAAGAAAAGGUUUUAAUAGGGAUCGAACUUGGGUCCUUGCGCUUGCGCAGCAGGUGGCGAAACCACUGAGCUAAAUCCCCGGCCCCAAAGCAUAAUCUUUUGAAGUCACUGUAGAAUGAAAAGAAGUAAUCUUUUCAAAUGAUUUUAACA